GCAUGCCCAGUUCGUAAGAACAGGGUAUGACGGAGCGGCGAACGGGUGAGUAACACGUGAGCAACCUGCCCCACAGACCGGGAUAGCCCAAGGAAACUUGGAUUAAUACCGGAUGACCUCGAACGACCACAUGGUCGACCGAGGAAAAGCCUUUGUGCUGUGGGAUGGGCUCGCGGCUUAUCAGCUAGUUGGUGGGGUAACGGCCUACCAAGGCAUCGACGAGUAGCUGGUCUGAGAGGACGAUCAGCCACACUGGAACUGAGACACGGUCCAGACUCCUACGGGAGGCAGCAGCAGGGAAUCUUGCGCAAUGGGCGAAAGCCUGACGCAGCAACGCCGCGUGGGGGAUGAAGGCCUUCGGGUUGUAAACCCCUUUCAGGAGGGAAGAAAUUGACGGUACCUCCAGAAGAAGGACCGGCCAACUACGUGCCAGCAGCCGCGGUAAUACGUAGGGUCCUAGCGUUAUCCGGAAUCAUUGGGCGUAAAGAGCUCGUAGGCGGUUCAGCAAGUCGGCUGUGAAAGUCCGAGGCUCAACCUCGGAAUUGCAGUCGAUACUGCUGUGACUCGAGUCCGGUAGAGGAGAAUGGAAUUCUCGGUGUAGCGGUGAAAUGCGCAGAUAUCGAGAGGAACACCAGUAGCGAAGGCGGUUCUCUGGGCCGGCACUGACGCUGAGGAGCGAAAGCGUGGGGAGCAAACAGGAUUAGAUACCCUGGUAGUCCACGCCGUAAACGUUG
This 734-nucleotide ribosomal RNA is filed under the name uncultured Actinomycetes bacterium. RNAcentral's name for it is "bacterial SSU rRNA". It matches the Rfam family "Bacterial small subunit ribosomal RNA", at positions 66 to 811 of the family's 1533-position model. The record is from RNAcentral. Lineage: Bacteria; Bacillati; Actinomycetota; Actinomycetes.